AGCGAACGCUGGCGGCAGGCUUAACACAUGCAAGUCGAGCGGGCACUGCGGUGUCAGCGGCAGACGGGUGAGUAACAGGUGGGAACGUACCCUUCGGUUCGGCAUAACGCUGGGAAACUAGCGCUAAUACCGGAUACGCCCUCUCGGGGAAAGGUUUGCUGCCAGAGGAUCGUCCUGCGUCUGCUCACCUAGUUGGUGGCGUAAGCGCCUACCACGGCGACGAUCAGUAGCGGGCCUGCGAGGAUAGGCCGCCACACUGGGGCUGAGACACGGCCCGGACUCCUACGGGAGGCAGCAGUGCCUAAUAUUGGACUACCGGCGGUAGCCUGAUCCUGCCCUGCCUCGUGAGUGCUUAAGGCCUUAGGGUUGUAAAGCUAUUUUGUCCGGUACGAUAAUGACGGUACCGAAAGAAUAAGCCCCGGCUAACUUCGUG
This 433-nucleotide ribosomal RNA is filed under the name uncultured bacterium. Its description in RNAcentral is "partial 16S ribosomal RNA". It matches the Rfam family "Bacterial small subunit ribosomal RNA", at positions 29 to 507 of the family's 1533-position model. The record is from RNAcentral.